Molecule: transfer RNA, 63 nt
Filed under: Cornu aspersum (brown garden snail)
Lineage: Eukaryota; Metazoa; Mollusca; Gastropoda; Stylommatophora; Helicidae
Description: Helix aspersa (brown garden snail) tRNA-Glu
Source: RNAcentral
GUUCAUGUAGUAAUUACAUUACUCUAUCUUUUCAUGAUAGCAGAGACUAUUGUCCAUGAAUUG